GGGAAGUGGAACAACCCGGAGACACUCGCACUUCUUUCGAGUGUUAAGGAGCCUAGGAGGAGCAGGCAGCCGCUUGCUUUGAGCAUGCUCAGGUGUGGCUGUCCGCCGCUGUGGGGAAGGCACCCUGCAGCAGGGCUUCCUGCCCCACCUCUCCAUUGUAGUAGUGUCCAGAUCUCAGAAACGCAGCUUGAACCCAGCUUCAAAGGUACCAGAUGCCUCAGGCUUUCUCAUGGCGCUGGAAGACUGCAGUCUUGUAAGGUCUUUGCAGAGCUCUCAGUUGACGAUUUCCAAAGGGAUUGUGAAAAGACUGUGAAGCCAGAUGUUCACCUUCAGAUGGAGAUUCAAGUGUCAUUUAAGAGAAACAACUAAAGGAAGUGUCUGACCUUUCAAGGUUUUUUGGUUUUUCUUUUUCUUUUCUUUUCUUUCUUUUUUUUGUAUUUUUUUU
Molecule: long non-coding RNA, 445 nt
Filed under: Rattus norvegicus (Norway rat)
Lineage: Eukaryota; Metazoa; Chordata; Mammalia; Rodentia; Muridae
Description: long non-coding RNA NONRATT022594
Source: RNAcentral